CCGCAAAGCGGGACCACGGCGCCGCGACUACUUUAUAGGCGGACCUCCGCGCCCCGCCCACUCUGGCCCCAAACCAGUCACAGCGCACGCGCUCAGCCCUCCCCUACGGCCCCCCCGCGGCAGCCUCGGGACGCGAGUGGCAGGAAAUGACUGGGGGCGGGGCCAAGGGGCCGCGUGCGCCUCAGACUCCCCCCGCCCCGCAGCCGGGAAAGGUCUAGAACCCCGAAAUGUGGAAAAAACACAGCCUUUUUUUCACGGGGGCGUGGCCCGACGGUUGCAGGACGCGAAAUUGGCAAAAUGAUGUAAACAAGGACGGUCCUCACACCUGAACAGGGGGUGCCAGGCCCUGGGCCCCAUACUUUACAGGGCCCUAUUCUAUCCCUCUUCUGGCAUCAUCUUCCAUGGAGAAAAGAAUGUGUUGAAGCCAAGAAGAUGCUCCCACCAAGAACAUCAUCUCUCCUAGAACAGGGGUCUAAAGGACUUCCUAUGGCGUUUCUCGAAAGGCAAGACUGUCAUCACUUCCCCUGACAGUGCCAUAGGUGUGGGCGUCACCUGCUACACCAAAUCCAGUAAGCCCCCUCCAACCUGGCAGCAUCACUGCACGUUCUCAUGUGUGGCCCUGCCCUGGCAAAACCUCCAUACCCACUCGGCUAGAGGAGAUGGGAGCGGUCCUAGGAAAGAACGCCUCAGACAUCCACUGUUCUUACCCAAUGUUCAGCAUGUUUUCAAGCUUAAACAUUUCUCAGAUGGUUGUAUGAGUUUUAUUGAUUUCCAGAGCACUGAAAGAGUUGUUCUUGUCAGUUUUGUUCAGACUUAUGGUUGCUUUCUGGUGAGAGGAUCUGCUGACUUUUCACAUGCCUGUGGCUGGAAAUAUGCUUCCACCCCCAGUGUUUCUGAUUCAUUAGACCUGGGGUGCAAUUGGAGAAUUUGCAUAGCCCAAAAAAGAAGUGUGUUACAGUUCCUCCCCCACUCUCUCUCUUGCCCCUGCUUUCACCAUGUGAAAUGCCUGCUCCCACUUUGCGUUCCACCAUGAAUAAAAGCCCCCUGAUGCCCCCCAUGAAGCUGAGUUAUGUUGGUGCCAUGCUUAUACAGCCUGCAGAACUGGGAGCCAAUUAAACUUCUUUUCUUUAUAAAUUACCCAGUCUCAGGUAUUUCUUUAUAGCAAUGCAAGAAUGGCCUAAUACAGCACACCCAAAAUAGCAGCUCACAUGUGCUCACAAACCAG
Long non-coding RNA from Piliocolobus tephrosceles (Ugandan red Colobus), 1225 nucleotides. RefSeq lists it as uncharacterized. NCBI's taxonomy places the organism in Eukaryota, Metazoa, Chordata, Mammalia, Primates, Cercopithecidae. The transcript is spliced from 3 exons. The record is from RefSeq and is a predicted model, not a curated record.